GGAUUAGGCAUGCAAGUCGCACGAGAAAGGCUUCUUCGGAAGCCGAGUAAAGUGGCGAACGGGUGAGUAAUGCAUAGACAACUCGCCCUUGAGAUGGGGACAACGCCUCGAAAGGGGUGCUAAUACCCAAUGCCGCCUUGGGCCUGCGGGUCCAGGGUGAAAGGAGGCCUCUGAUUCAAGCUUCCGCUCAAGGAGAGGUUUAUAUCCUAUUAGCUAGUUGGCGGGGUAACGGCCCACCAAGGCUGCGAUGGGUAGCCGACCUGAGAGGGUGACCGGCCACAUUGGGACUGAGACACUGCCCAGACUCCUACGGGAGGCUGCAGUCGAGAAUCUUCCGCAAUGCGCGCAAGCGUGACGGAGCGACGCCGCGUGGGUGAUGAAGGCCUUCGGGUUGUAAAACCCUGUCAGCUACUACGAAACACGGGCGAUGAACAAUCGUCCCGUCUGACUUAAGUAGCAGAGGAAGCACCGGCUAACUACGUGCCAGCAGCCGGGGUAAUACGUAGGGUGCGAACGUUGUUCGGAAUCACUGGGCAUAAAGGGCGCGUAGGCGGUCUGAUAAGUCAGGUGUGAAAUCCCUCGGCCUAACCGAGGAACUGCAUUUGAUACUGUCGGGCUAGAGUACAGGAGGGGAGAGUGGAAUUCCUGGUGGAGCGGUGAAAUGCGUAGAUAUCAGGAGGAACGCCGGCGGCGAAAGCGACUCUCUGGCCUGUUACUGACGCUGAGGCGCGAAAGCUAGGGGAGCAAACGGGAUUAGAUACCCCGGUAGUCCUAGCCCUAAACGAUGGGCACUAAGUAGAGGGGUUUU
This 808-nucleotide ribosomal RNA is filed under the name uncultured Planctomycetota bacterium. Its description in RNAcentral is "bacterial SSU rRNA". It matches the Rfam family "Bacterial small subunit ribosomal RNA", at positions 46 to 832 of the family's 1533-position model. Lineage: Bacteria; Pseudomonadati; Planctomycetota. The record is from RNAcentral.